UAAGGAAUAUUGGUCAAUGGACGCAAGUCUGAACCAGCCAUGCCGCGUGAAGGAUGAAGGUCCUCUGGAUUGUAAACUUCUUUUAUCUGGGACGAAAACGGGAUUUUUAUCUCAAUUGACGGUACCAGAGGAGUAAGCACCGGCUAACUCCGUGCCAGCAGCCGCGGUAAUACGGAGGGUGCGAGCGUUAUCCGGAUUUACUGGGUUUAAAGGGUGCGUAGGUGGGCUUAUAAGUCAGUGGUGAAAUCUCCGAGCUUAACUUGGAAACUGCCGUUGAUACUAUAGGUCUUGAAUUAUCUGGAGGUAAGCGGAAUAUGUCAUGUAGCGGUGAAAUGCUUAGAUAUGACAUAGAACACCAAUUGCGAAGGCAGCUUACUACAUAUAAAUUGACGCUGAGGCACGAAAGCGUGGGGAUCAAACA
Molecule: ribosomal RNA, 421 nt
Filed under: uncultured bacterium
Lineage: Bacteria
Description: bacterial SSU rRNA
Rfam family: Bacterial small subunit ribosomal RNA
Source: RNAcentral